This 913-nucleotide ribosomal RNA is filed under the name uncultured bacterium. RNAcentral's name for it is "bacterial SSU rRNA". It matches the Rfam family "Bacterial small subunit ribosomal RNA", at positions 26 to 916 of the family's 1533-position model. The record is from RNAcentral.
AGAACGAACGCUGGCGGCGUGCUUAACACAUGCAAGUCGAACGCGAACGGUUUCUUCGGAAACCUAGUAGAGUGGCGCACGGGUGAGUAACGCGUAGAUAACCUGUCCUUAUGUCUGGGAUACCCCACCGAAAGGUGGACUAAUACCGGAUGUUCUUGUUUUUCAUAAGUAUAAUAAGAAAAGGUGGCCUCUGAUUUAAGCUACUGCAUGAGGAGGGGUCUGCGUACCAUUAGCUUGUUGGUGGGGUAAGAGCCUACCAAGGCAUCGAUGGUUAGCGGGUCUGAGAGGAUGAUCCGUCACACUGGCACUGAAACACGGGCCAGACUCCUACGGGAGGCAGCAGUGAGGAAUAUUGCGCAAUGGGGGAAACCCUGACGCAGCGACGCCGCGUGAGUGGGGAAGGCUUUCGGGUCGUAAAGCUCUGUCAAAAGGGAAGAAAUGCAUAAUGGUUAAUACCUAUUAUGUUUGACGGUACCUUUAAAGGAAGCACCGGCUAACUCCGUGCCAGCAGCCGCGGUAAUACGGAGGGUGCAAGCGUUGUUCGGAAUUACUGGGCGUAAAGGGCGCGUAGGCGGCUUGAUAAGUCAGAUGUGAAAGCCCACGGCUUAACCGUGGAAGUGCAUUUGAAACUGUCAAGCUUGAGUAUCAGAGGGGAAAGUGGAAUUCCUGGUGUAGAGGUGAAAUUCGUAGAUAUCAGGAGGAAUACCAGUGGCGAAGGCGACUUUCUGGCUGAAUACUGACGCUGAGGCGCGAAAGCGUGGGGAGCAAACAGGAUUAGAUACCCUGGUAGUCCACGCCGUAAACGAUGUCAACUAGGUGUAGGGGGUGUUGAUCCCUCUGUGCCGCAGCUAACGCAUUAAGUUGACCGCCUGGGGAGUACGGUCGCAAGAUUAAAACUCAAAGAAAUUGACGG